CAGGGCUUGACAUCCUACUAACGAAGCAGAGAUGCAUUAGGUUCCCUUUGGGGAAAGUAGAGACAGGUGGUGCAUGGUUGUUGUCAGCUCGUGUCGUGAGAUGUUGGGUUAAGUCCCGCAACGAGCGCAACCCUUACGGUUAGUUGGUACGGAAGAGCACUUUAGCCGGACUGCCGUUGACAAAACGGAGGAAGGUGGGGAAGACGUCAAAUCAUCAUGCCCUUUAUGUCCUGGGGUACACACGUAAUACAAUGGCAGUCAAACAGAGGGAAGCAAGAUGGCGACAUGGAGCGAAACCCUAAAAGCUGUCUCAGUUCAGAUUGCAGGCUGAAACCCGCCUGCAUGAAGGUGGAAUUGCUAGUAAUCGCGGAUCAGCAUGCCG
This 382-nucleotide ribosomal RNA is filed under the name uncultured bacterium. RNAcentral describes it as "bacterial SSU rRNA". It matches the Rfam family "Bacterial small subunit ribosomal RNA", at positions 975 to 1359 of the family's 1533-position model. The record is from RNAcentral.